AGGCACACUGCACAGCCACGUGCACUAUGCACGUGUGUGCACAUGCAGUACACAGUCACAUGCACAUGUGUGCACACAGCACAAUUGCACAGCCCCCGCAACAGUCUCCUAGCCAUGAUUUCAUCCUUCGCAUCACCUUCCUCACUGACACUGAGCCCCAAGAAUAAGCCACCUCCUGAAACCUGGAAGUCUCUCUGGGAGCCACGUCUUCUGGCCGAGCUUGCUGAAUGCUGGGCCAGUGGCUGAAGGGCAGCCCCAGUAAAAGGUCCCAGAGCCAGGGGCCCUGGCCCUGAGUGGGCAGAAGUCAGUGAGGCACCACGGAAGGUGCCAGAAGACUCAAGAGCUCCUUGCAACUCUGCCCCAGCAGUGCCUGGGUGUCUGCUAUUAUUUGGAGUUGACUUUCCCCGGCAAUCGAGGCGUCCCUGUGUCUCAGAGAAGGGCAUGGUUGAUGGACGUGAGCACGUGGAGAGCUUCUCGCCUCUUAAAGCCCCGAUGGCCCUCGAGAGGGGCUGCACACUCACGAGGUGGCUGCCCCAGGAAGCCACCGCCUGACACGUUUGCACUUUCUUAGUGUGGCUUAGAGAGUGAUUCAAAAUCUUGAACGUCAACCUGCUGUAGUGUUUGAGAGGCGACUUUACAUUAGUUUAAAUUGCCAUUAAAAUCCUAAGUGAACAGAAAUAAGCCAAACUUGCUAUGAAUCCUUAAUGCCCUUCACUUGGUUCGCUUGGUUCUGCCCCUCUGCACCUCCCCACACCCUGUGGCCGGGGUGCCCAACAGCCAGGUGUGGGGCUGGGGCAGGGGGAGCCUGUGUGAGCCGGACACAGGGGAGGGGUGGGCACAGGCCCCAUGCAGAGGGGGUGGGUGUGGUGUGAGUGUGAGUGUGAGCGUGAGAAUGAACAUCAACAUGGGCGUGGGCAUGAGUGAACGUGCAUGUGUGUGAGUGUGAACACGAACGUAUGAGUGAGUGUGAGCGUGAGUGUGAGCGUGAGCCCACCAGGGGCGGGCCGGGGCGGGCAAGCAGGAGGGCGUGGGGGCCAGCCAGCAUGGCUCCGUGUCAGUGAGAAUGUGGGCCCCUCCUUCCAAAGCAAGAACAAAGCUCUCUCCUUUCCCUGAGCUUGUCCUCUGGGUUGUGUUUGUUUUUAAUGGCUUUGUUGAGUUAUAAUUCAUAUUCCACUUCAUAUAUAACUCACCCAUUUAAAGUAUACAAUUCGGUGGUUUUUGGUAUAUUACAUUAUUUUUAAAAUUAUGGUAUAAAAUAUAAGCAUAAAAUUAACUAUUUUAACCUUUUUUAAGUGUAUGGUGCAGGGGCAUCAGUACCUGCACGUUGCUGUGUAAACACCCUACCAUCCAUCUCCAGAACUUUCCAACUUCCUGAAUGGGAACUCUGUCCCCAUUAAACAGUAGCUCCCAGCCCCUCGCAGCCCCUGGUGCCCACCGUCCCACCCUCUGUCUCCGUGGGUGGGACGACGACGACCGCCCCCGUGAGCUGAGGAGUGCCUGUGUCGUGGCACUGAACCCCGUCCCAUGUCGGUUCAGUGGAGGAGGGAAGUUUGCCCUUCAGAGAGGGACAUGUGGGAGACUGUAAAGCCCCUCAAAUGGCCCUCCCCUCCCCUGCCCCGCAGCAAGAGAAUCAGAUGUUGGUCCACAUCAGAGACGGUCAGCAUGGCCCUUCUGAAGGAUUCUCCCUGGAGCCACAUGAGCUGUUGUUCACGUGACAGAAACACAUUGGGCCCCACGUUCGCCCGUCUGGGUUGACGAAGAUGAGACCACCUCCUCUGUAGGGACGAUCCCAUAGACAGGAAGCAAAUGAGUCCUCCCAGGGCAUCGGAGCUCUUUCCAUGGGACAGAUGGGAGAACAGUCCGUGGCAGGUGCUCCGAGGGUGGCCCCCAUGCUUCGAGCAUUUUCAUAGUAAUUCUCAGAUGUUGCGUGAGUUUCCCGUGGCUGCCAUAACACGGCCGCAGCCUGGGUGCUACGGAAUAGCAGUUUAUUCCGUCCCAGGCCCUGAGGCCAGAAGUCAGAGGUGGGGGGGUCCACAGUGGACCCCCCAGCGGGUCCUUCUGGGUCCCCCGAGGGACACUGUGCCCCGGGCCUCUCUCGGCUUCGGCUGCUGGCCCCGACAGUCGUUGGUGUUCCCCGGCUCGUGGCAGCCUCAUCCGGAUCUCUGCCUCUCCUCCCACGUGUUCUCGCCGUGUGUCUGCACGUCUGAAACUCUCUGUCCCUGUGAGAUGCGUCGCUGGAUCCAGGGCUCAUCUUAACCUGACCGACCGCAUCUGCAGAGACCCUAUUCCAAAUGAGGUCACACGCACGGGUUCCAGGCUCCCAGGACCCUGGGGGCCACUGUCUCCCAGCUGGGGUGUUACUUGCUUUCUCACGGUGCUAACAUCUGCACUGGCAGAGAAGUCAUCGCGGUCAACUGCUUGCUAUCACGCAGGACACAAAGCUCGACGGGGGGACGUGGCCCCUCUCUGCGGCCCGGAGGCACUGUGACAACAGCCCCACCCAACAGCAUCCAGAUGACGCGAAACCACCCGACCGCUGGGCCUGCUGGAAUGGGAGCACGCAGGCGGCCCCGCGCCGGGGGUGUCGUCCUGAGCGCGUGCUGGGGCCAGAGCUGCGCUUCCCGCUCCGUCCAUGCAGCACGGCUUCCCGGGAACAAAUGGCUGACAGACCGACGGACAGGACGUGGUCCGGAUACCAGAGGAAGUCAGGUGACCAGUUCGAGGAAAAUGGCAGACGGUGCUUGUUGUCCAAACGCUGAGCUUUCCAACAAAGAGCGGGAGUUUGGAAAGCUGCUGUCAGCCACCGUGAGCUGGGCGGGUUCCCUGCGCUCGCAGGCUUGGCUGAUGUGGUCGAUGAGCGCAUGACGAAUGCAAUUUCCUCAUGUUGUGAAAUAAAACGUCCUUACAUAUGGAAGACCUGUUUAGCUGAAUGAACUGAGGAUUUGCUAACGACCAGUGCAGGUUGUUACAAAAUUAUGGUCGAAGGUGCGCUUCCAGUUCAAGCUAGACCAGUGGAUUUUAACACAACACAUAAAAUCUACUGAUAAGGUUUCAGAUUUCAUUUUAUGACUAAGCUUUAGGAAUCUGUACCUCGGUGAAUUUUGGUAUAAUAUCAGAGAAGAAUAACCCACAUGAUCUGAGAAUACUAUUAGGAUACACCUUUCUCCUCCAGCUGCGUCUCUGUGCAGGGCCUGAUUUUCCUCGUCUGUCAGCCAAAGCGGCGAAUCUGCAGCGACGGGGUGCGGACGCACGCGCGAGCGCUCAGCUGUCUGCUACCGAGCCAGGCACGCAAGAGAUGCGAAAACGCCUGCACUAACUUCCAUACUGCGAACAGCCAUGGAUGUAAGCCCGAAAGGAAAGCGUGUUGGUGUCCUCCACGAUGGGUCCUGGGAACAAGGUGUUGGGGCGUGGCUAUGCGGACUGCCUUCCUCUCCCUGAGUUUCUGCCUUGUUGAUCUCUGGAUGAGGGAGCACCUGUGCAUGCCGGGAUCGGCACCUGGCCACCGCGCCAAAGACAGCAUUUGGCAGUGACCCCAUGGGUCCGAGUCACCACGCCUGUGUCGGAGCACUCUACUUACCGUGGCGGUGGCUGCGUCCUGGGACGAGCGUGACGCACAACUUAACAGGAAGAGCCGCUGAAGUGAGAGGUGCUCGAGCUGGGCUGGCGUUCUCUGCAGCAAAGGGAAGAAUCCUUCGAACAGGUUAGCCGCCGAUCGGCAGUGGGAGGCCAUGAUCUAAACACUAUUCUAAGGUGGCAUCCCAGACAUGGCCCAAAGAAGAAGCCAGCCCACCCUGAUUUUCCAGAGGGAGACGUGCACACCAGGGCCUCUGAUCACCCAGAUCAUGGGGUCCUCUGUGGGGAUGGGUGUGCACAGCCCAGCCCCGCCCACCGCCAUGGACUCUGGGAGAAGCCGGAGCCUGGAGGAAGAGGUGCCAGGCAGAGGAGUUGGGACCGUGCUGCGUCUCCAGCGGGAGGGCCCCACUCUGGGCCUGAGGGACCAACCGGCCGGUGAGCUGACGGGGAGCCGGGUCCCCGGGGCUGAGGCCCACGCCUGUGGGGCUCAGAGCACCGUCCCCUGUCCCAUGCUGUCAGCCUGCUUCUUUCCCGCCCCCGUGCCCUUUUCACUGUGGCUGGUGUUCAGGGGCCGACGGAGGGGCCGUGUGGACACCAUGGAGCAGCAGCGGGACCAGGGCAUUCGCUCAACAUGAAGCAUGGCCUUUCCCGCCGCCUCCGCCUGCUCCGGAGCCGCGUGCCCCCGUGACAGCAGAUUGCCGCUGAUGCCCACCCCCGCCCCACCUCUCGGGCCACUUGCCCUUCUUCUGCCCUCAGCUUUUACUUGGGAGCAGUGAACUUUCUGGCACGCAGUCCUGGACAUCCGGCGUCCACCUGGUGAGAGGCUCCUUCCUCCCAGGGCACGAGUGGUGGCUGCGGUGGGCGGGGGCCGCUGGUCUCAAUCACUCUGGGCCUCUCCCCCGGGCAGCGGCGGGAGGCACUUUAUUACCCGCAGGGAUAUUGCUGAUGCUUCUGCUAAUUGAGUUUUAUCCUCACCACUGGGUCUGCCUCUUGCCUUUGCAUACGCAUCUGCAUACUCAGAGUGAGUUAUGGCGGCUUGGCUAAUAAACGGACCUUGUUUUGUGGCUAGAAUGGCCAUCGUGUGCCCUGGAGGCUGCCGGGCCGCGAGGGGGUGAUUCCAGACGUUUGCUGGCAUCAGGAGUUUGCACUCCGUGCGGACACUCUAAUAGGGAAAGUUUUCGAGCAGGAAAAGAUGCAGCUGAGGCAUUAGCUGUGCUGUCCAGUGACUUCACGUGACACCCACACAAAAAACUCACUUCCAGUGCAGCUGAAAAUUGCAGAAAAGCGUCUCCCCCAGGCCCCAUGGCCAUGGCCUUAUGGCCCCGCGCUGUCCUGCACAGAACAGAGUCGUCUCUCCGUUCCCCUAAAUGUGGGAGGAAGGGCUGGGGGCUGGACAGUUGUCAGAGACCCUUGUGUGUUUAUGUUUCAGAUGCACUGGGGGUCUGUCUCUGGAGCGUCAGGAGACCCCAUGCCCCCUCUCAGCUCGGCCUGCGCCCUGCUGGUGACACCCGUCUCCUUUGUGCCGCACAUGUGGGAAGGGAGGCGGCCCUCUGAGGGUCACAGGCAGGCUGCCUCAGGCAUGCAGCCUGGCCGUGGGCACUCCGGCCCUGACCUCUGCCCCGGCUCACCUGUGGGCCCUCUGUUCCCCACCCGGGGCUGGCGCCCAGGACCGGCUGGUCCUGCCCUGGCCCCGGUAGGGGUGGUGCUCCAUACCCAGAGCUUGUGGAAUGGGGGCUCACCCACUGAACCCUGCAGCCCCUCCUGGUUUCUGGGUUCUGCUCCUGCUCUGCAAGGAGCCCUCCCUGCCCGCCUUCCCCAAACAGGUAGGAAGAAGGUGUGGGGCAGCUAGAAGGGCCCUGAGCCAGAGCAGGCAUCUGGGAACCUGAGCCAGGGAACAGGAGACUCGGAGGCGGCUAGUGGGGCCGGCCUCGGCUCUCAGCCUGGCCCACAGCCCCCGCCCUGUCCACACCUCCACACUGGUCGCCAUGGUUCCCACUCCACACACAGAGGGCGGCUUUCCUUCCCCUGCGACUGGCAGGUGCUUGCUGUCAUCUAUGUCACCAGUGUUUGGGACUGUCAUCGGAGGGCCAUCUGGCUGCGGGUUCCUGUCCUGACGGUGCGGGGUCCCAGACACCGACUUGUCCUCCAGCCAUCAGAGGGGUGGGAACAAACGGCGUCCUGACUGAGGGGGCAACGGGCCUCUGAGCCGGACGGAUACCCACUCGCAGCGGGAGAUGCGCAAUCACACGCUCACAAAAGGUCACAUUUGCAAUAAGUAAAAAGGAAAUGUAGGUAAUUGGUUCUGGAGCCCGUUAAUACCUCUGCCGGCCUGAGAGGCAAUCUGACGGACUUGAAACCUUUUUGUUCAGGUAAUUAAAAAUAAGAUUUCAUUAUAUCAUUAAAAAUGAGGGCCAGCGAGCUGUUUCCUCGGAUGCUAUAAUGUUAUCAGAAGAGGGAACUAAAUCUAGCCAGGCACCCCACACACGCACUGGUGCCCGGGCCCCAGGCUGGGGUGGAGGCGGCUCUGCAGGUGCCAGGGUCGGACUGCACCGUGAGAUCUGGGGAGAGCAGCCGAGAUGAUUCGCAGGACAGAUUGCAAGAUAAAUGGGAGGGGGAUGAGGAAGGCCUCCCGCGGUCCCACCGCCUUCCCCCAGACAAAGGCACUGCGGCGGCUUCCCCGAGCGGUGACGCGCUGGAAACAGGUGAAACGGGACAGGUGCGCAUUCUUCAGGGAGGCAAGGCCUGACACAGGAUCCCGGCAGCCCAUCAGGAGCCCGGCCUCGGUUCAUAAGAGGCCGUGGACGUCCUGCUCCACGUGUUUCAAACUAAACCUGUCUGGAUGUAAACCGCUGGCCUCUUAUCCACGGGGGGGCAUUGGCGUGCAGCGGUGUUCCCAGCGGAGCCGGUGGAAUGGAGCGCGCGGGCCCCGGGCGCACAUGCAAACCCCUGAUGCCAAGAAAGCGCAGCUGGGAUGUCCUGCGGCUGCUGAGGGUUUCGGGUCCCCCCUCGGGCUUUCCUCUCACUCAGGCCUUUCCUCUCCGGUUUGUAGGAAGGGUUUGGGGCAGUGACCUAAAUAAUUUCUCGGAUGGGAAAGGCGUGAUCUGGUCGUUUGUGGUGAACGAGACGUGGAGUCCUGCCUGCUGGCGGAGGCCCGGUCCCACGUGGGGUUCCCACAUCUGGGGGAGCCGCCGGCUUCCGAGGGUGCCUGUCAGCAGGCGGGGGGCCAGCAGGCGGUCCUGUGUGCACCACUGGCAUGGUAACAAGCCGUUUUCAGACGGUGACUUAUUUUUAAAGGCUUGGGUGUUCUCUGGCGGCUAAUUAGUCCAGACGCCCAUUCUUUGUGUUUCCAAACGAAAUAGAUUUUGAGGAGGAUUUUAGCUCACCUGGGGGUCUGGGUCUGAAGAACUCCGUGGCCCAUGAAGUCGUUUGUUAUUUUGUUGUGACCAUGCACACGCUGGAAGGGUGAGAGAAAGGUCAGCGAUAACUCUGCUGUUGCGUUUUCGCCUGGAAAGAAUGCAAUAUUGAUCGAUAAGAAAAUGGGAGAGCACAACUAUUAGGGCCUUACUUGACCUUCUCCGACCUUCACCCGCCAUGUUGAUUUUGUUCUUAAAUGUUAUGUCUCCCGUUCAAAAGGUUUGUCCUGUUUGGUCUCCUAUUUAAUUAAUACAUGAUCUUCUUCACUCUCUCUAAUGUUGCAACAAGACAUUUCCUUGAUGUCCUUGUUGAACCACUGUCCUUGCUCCAUAUUCUCUCUGCCACUCUGACUGGUUCACCAGCGACUGGUUUGCCUGGAGCUGCCGUUUCAUGCGUCUGUCUUUCCGCAGGUCCUGGGAACAAGUUGCUGUUGCCGAUGAGAGAGCCCUGUGUGGACGGGCGCUCUGCCAGGAGGCUGACCCACGUGUGUGUGUGCGUCUGCAUGUGUGUUUCUGCAUGUGUGUGCUUGCGUCUGUAUCUGCAUGUGCCUGCGUGUGCGUGUGUCUGCAUGUGUCUGUGUGUGU
Ailuropoda melanoleuca (giant panda) is the source of this 7571-nucleotide long non-coding RNA. RefSeq lists it as uncharacterized. The transcript is spliced from 5 exons. The record is from RefSeq and is a predicted model, not a curated record. Lineage: Eukaryota; Metazoa; Chordata; Mammalia; Carnivora; Ursidae.